Osmerus eperlanus (European smelt) is the source of this 2321-nucleotide RNA transcript. It is a transcript of the gene named amidohydrolase domain containing 2, with no coding region annotated. The transcript has 12 exons. Lineage: Eukaryota; Metazoa; Chordata; Actinopteri; Osmeriformes; Osmeridae. The record is from RefSeq and is a predicted model, not a curated record.
AGCUAGCAGAGAAAAUGGCGCUAUGGAAAAUGUCACAUGACCAACAUUUCGGGAAGGUCCACUGUGGCCGCCCAGGGUUCAGUGGACCAAGCCUUUUAUUAUGCUGUAAUUGGAGCAACAAUGACAAAUGUGUUUUAAAACACCAAUACACCACAAUAUAGUAGCCUGUAGGCUACCCGUACAACUGACCUAAUGAUGUUCUUUCGCAAAAUGUGUGGUAGGUUUUGAUUUAGUGAACAUCUAUCCAGGAUUUGAACAAAUUGCAACACUGCAAGACGUAGCAUUAAGAGAUUUGUGUGGUGGCAUUUAAUAUUGCCAUAACGUGUCGGCUAGUUUGGGAAUGGGACGUUUUCGUUUAGAUCAGCUGACUCCUGCAAUCUCACAUGACUGCUUGCUCCUCCUUUCGUUUCAAUGCUGAUGGCGAGAGUAGCCUAUCCUACUGUGUGUAAAAGUCUAUGGGAGUAAUACAACUUUGUUGACAAAGUAUUUUACGGAAAAUGCCAUCCAAUAAGUCUGUGUCAGAGGAACCUAUUGUCCAGUUUGUCAACUGCAGGAUACUGAGAGAACAUAAGCUUCAGAGAGAGGACCUCUGGGUCCGCGAGGGGACAAUACUCGACCCAGAGAAGCUCUUCUUUGAUGAAAAAGGUUAUGCAGAUGAGAUUGUUGAUUGCAAAGGAUGCAUUGUCGCCCCCGGAUUCAUAGAUGUCCAGAUAAACGGAGGAUAUGGCAUUGACUUCUCUCAAGCAACCGAAGAUGUCAGAGGUGGGGUGUCUUUAGUGGCAAAGAAAAUACUGGAGCAUGGUGUUACCUCCUUCUGCCCUACCUUGGUGACCUCACCUCCAAACAUCUACCACAAGGUCUUGCCUGAGGUCAGAGUUCACAAUGGAGGAAGAGAAGGUGCUGGAGUGUUGGGGUUUCAUCUGGAGGGGCCGUUCAUCAGUCCAGAAAAGAAAGGAGCUCAUCCAGAGAAAUAUCUACAUACUUUCCAGUUGGGUGGAAUGAGCGACCUACUGGACACCUACGGUGCUCUGGACAAUGUUGCCAUGGUGACGUUAGCCCCAGAGCUAGCCAAUAGCCAAGUGGUGAUUCAGGAAUUGGCGCAAAUGGGCAUCACUGUCUCAUUAGGACACUCAGUGGCUAACCUCACCCAGGCAGAGGAAGCAGUUCAGCACGGAGCGUCAUUCAUCACUCACCUCUUCAACGCAAUGCUGCCAUUCCACCACAGAGAUCCAGGCAUAGUGGGCCUGCUGACUAGUGACCAGAUCCCUCAUGACAGGAAAGUGUUCUACGGCAUGAUUGCUGACGGCAUCCACACCAACCCGGCCGCCCUGCGCAUCGCCCACAGAGCACACCCCUCAGGUCUGGUGUUGGUGACUGAUGCCAUCACGGCAAUGGGUCUUCCCCCUGGGCGCCACCCUCUGGGUCAGCAGGUCAUUGAGAUCCAGGGCCUUCAUGCUUAUGUGGCAGGCACAACAACUCUCAGUGGAAGCAUAGCCACAAUGGACAUGUGUGUGAGGCACUUCAAACAGGCUUCAGGAUGCAGUGUGGAGGAAGCUCUGGAGGCCGCCUCCCUCCACCCAGCUCAGCUGCUGGGCAUUAGCCAACACAAAGGCACCCUGUCAUAUGGAACAGAUGCAGGUAAGGAAUUAAAUGUUGAUGGCUACCUUUUCUCCAUGCACUUGGUGGUGUGGUCAUGUCCAUUAUCUUUAACAGCUGUUGGCUCAGGAUGGGUUUGUGCUCUCAAGUAUUUCUUGCAACUCUUAACACACACACACACUUGCUAAGUAAUUCCCUCUGUCCAUCCUCAGACCUCGUUCUGCUUGAUGAUGUCAUGAAUGUAAAAGCCACCUAUGUUUCUGGAGAAGAGGUCUGGAGGAAGUGACCUCACUCUGAGGACCUACACGAAGGAUGAACCAUGGACCUGCAAAAUAAUAAUAUAACAUACCUGUAGAGGGCAUGCCAGUGUAGAUAUGAGGAAGUCAUGAUCAGAUCCUCCACACUGGCUACCUGGAAAUCCAUCAGCAGCUGAUUUGACGGCUUAUUGCUUCUGCCUAUCAGAUCUAGUCAUUACCUGAGUGACAGGCCUUUUGUCAAGCCAUAAUCCAUAAACAUACUUUGGCAUGAUGAUUUCAGGUUGAUCUCCACACUAGAUAAAUAGAGCAGCUAUAUGGUUUAUGAAUGACAUUUGGGUUGUUACAACAUCAGCAAUCAUUUGUAAAUAUAUAAACUAUUUUUUCAAACAAGUGUAUGUAUUGUAAAAACUGGAGCAAGUAAGGGAAAGAGUUAAGUGGAGUAAAAUAUUGUUUAGUAAAUUAAUGCAA